This 313-nucleotide long non-coding RNA is filed under the name Capsella rubella. RNAcentral describes it as "long non-coding RNA (CRUB_LNC003143)". Lineage: Eukaryota; Viridiplantae; Streptophyta; Magnoliopsida; Brassicales; Brassicaceae. The record is from RNAcentral.
AAAUUAAUGAAACAGCAAGCUUUGUGGUUUUAAUCAUCCUAAUCUCUAAUGAAAAUGCAACAAUCCUAGAUGCAACAGUUCUAAAACAAACCUAAAUGCAUAUGCAAACUAUAUGAUCACUCUUUUUUUUUUUUUAAAGAUUUUUCUGAAAAAAUUUCAAAUAUUUAGGGUUUUAUAAUACACAUAGAUGAAUGCCAAUGACAUGCUAAAACUUCAAAAUAAGAAACAUAAAACACACAUCAAAUACUAUCCCAAACCCUCCCCCAAACUUAAAUUACAGAGUGCCUUGUGUAAUAAAAGAUUGAGAAGGGAU